This is a long non-coding RNA of Girardinichthys multiradiatus, 1746 nucleotides long. RefSeq lists it as uncharacterized. The record is from RefSeq and is a predicted model, not a curated record. The transcript has 2 exons. NCBI's taxonomy places the organism in Eukaryota, Metazoa, Chordata, Actinopteri, Cyprinodontiformes, Goodeidae.
UGGUUAGGAUUAAUUGGAAUGUAUGUGCCUGACUUUGUGAAGUACCUUGAGACGAUGUGUUGUGAAUUGGCGCUAUAUAAAUAAACUGAAUUGAAUUGGCUUACAACCAAAACUCUUUGUGGUGCAAAACUCCCCAUCACACCAUCUUCCCUGUGAAACAUGAUUGGACAAUCAUGCAGAGUCGAGUGUUUUUAUCAGUAGGUACAGGGCCAGAUUUGGUACAAAGAUGGUUGUUGCUAAAUGGUAUCCUGGGAAAACAAACAGUUGCAAAAUACUUGAGACUGGGACAGAGGUACACCUUCCAGCAGGACAACAAUGCUAAACAUACAGCCAGAGUUACAAGAUGGUUUAAAGCAUGUUCAUGUUCUGUUUUCAUUCAUGUGCAUGUUAUAGGUCUAUCACAUAAACUCCUAAUCAAAUAUAAUGUUUAUGGCUAUAGUGGUACAAAAUGUGGGAAUAUUUCUGAAUAUUAUUGCUAUGCAUUGUAUUUUAUGUACCAAUGAUUGGUUGGUGGACUUCUUUAAUGGCAAGUUUCAGUCUCAUUUUGCAAGGAGCCAUUGUCCUGCCUCUGUUCUGUCUUGUGUUUCCGAAAAAUAGUCCCUGCAUUGUCAUCCAUGGGGUCUUUCCAGUGCUGCAGACAGCAUUACUCCUCUCCUCCUGGUAACCUUUGUCUAAUACCUUCUCUGGUUGUUAUCACAGCUGUUUGCUUUUUAUGUUUCUUCCUUCUGUUUUUAUUUCCUACUUGUGGUGAUAAGAACUGUCACAAUGCUAGUCACUUCAUGCCGCUGCAAGGAAAGGAACAAAAUCGACUCCAGGGUCACCCUUUAUAAGGCUGUGGCUGCAGCCUUCAUUGUUCAUCUGAACGACAUCGAUCUGGACUUUGCCUGUUGUUCACUGUUGGGAUGACACCAGCAGCGUCUAGCUUCAUAUUAAGAAGGAGACCAGAGAUUGGUGCCAGGAAGCCACUUGGCGUCCUUAAAUGCUUUGGGUCUGCCUGUGAGGGAGGCCUGCAUCCUGGGUGGAUGCUGUGAGUUUUGACACAUCUUUAAAACAGACACAAUAUUUAAGAUUUACACAAAAGAGUUCAGGCAGGAGUAUUGAAAGUUUUCAUUACUGAAGGCCACCUUAAAAAAACAAAAACUCGGGCUUAUUGGAAUUAAGUUUUAAGUAAAUGAAGGUUGGGUUUGUGGUAGAUUAAAACUUUGUUAGAUUUGGUAAAUUAAAAGGGUUACUGUUGUUUUUAACCAUAUGUGAAAGUGAAUUCUGUUCUGGACAUAAGAAAACAGUUCCUGAGCAGGCCAGUAGGGCCCGUCCAGGAAGUUGUUCAGAUAAGGAGACUCUUGACCCGAGAGAACCAUUCUUAGAUUCUUGGAAAGAGCCCCAUUUGAACGUUAUCUGCACAAAUAUAGAAAACUGUGGUGCAGACCAGCUGUGGAAUGAGUGGUUGACAGGAACAAAGAGGCUGUUGUGAUACAACUGUCACGUAGAUCAGUUUUGAAAUCUUGCAGAUGUGAUUCUAGUCUUGUGAUUCCUGUAAGGACUGCUAAGAGUCUAGUGUUGUUUGCCAAAACGUGUGCGUAAAUGGAAAUGGCAUAUCGGAUUGGUCAAGAGUUUAUCAUACACAACAAUGAUAUGAAUUGUGUUUAUAUACACCCUGACUUGUGUCAGGAUUCUGGAUUCAUUGGGAUUUUGUAUUAUGAAGAUGUAUUCUGAAUAAAAGAUCUCUGUGUAGGCUUUGAGAGGAAA